AUGCACGCUGGCGGCGUGCUUAACACAUGCAAGUCGAACGGAAAGGCUCCUGCUUGCAGGGGUACUCGAGUGGCGAACGGGUGAGUAACACGUGGGUGAUCUGCCCUGCACUUCGGGAUAAGCCUGGGAAACUGGGUCUAAUACCGGAUAGGACGAUGGUUUGGAUGCCAUUGUGGAAAGUUUUUCGGUGUGGGAUGAGCUCGCGGCCUAUCAGCUUGUUGGUGGGGUAAUGGCCUACCAAGGCGUCGACGGGUAGCCGGCCUGAGAGGGUGUACGGCCACAUUGGGACUGAGAUACGGCCCAGACUCCUACGGGAGGCAGCAGUGGGGAAUAUUGCACAAUGGGCGCAAGCCUGAUGCAGCGACGCCGCGUGGGGGAUAACGGCCUUCGGGUUGUAAACUCCUUUCGCUAGGGACGAAGCGCAAGUGACGGUACCUGGAGAAGAAGCACCGGCUAACUACGUG
RNAcentral lists this ribosomal RNA (464 nucleotides) under uncultured bacterium. RNAcentral's name for it is "partial 16S ribosomal RNA". It matches the Rfam family "Bacterial small subunit ribosomal RNA", at positions 29 to 507 of the family's 1533-position model. The record is from RNAcentral.